CAUCCACAGCCUCAACCUGUCCCAGUGAUGCAGUUCCAGGGUCCAGCCCUGUCAUGUUGGUGCAUCAUCCUGUUGUCCCCUGACACAUGUUUCAAAGUACAGACAAGUAUUUUAGGAACACUGUGGUGAUGAGGAGCCUUCCUGCUGCUGCGAGGCACCUCAGACUCAUGUUCUCCUUUUCCUUCUGUUUCCAGGGCAGACGUUUUACAAGUGGCUGACAGGUGUCUGCAUAGAGAAACGAGCUUUCUACAGGCUUAUCUCUGGGCUCCAUGCAAGCAUCAACAUUCACCUGAGCGCCAGGUACCUCUUACAAGAUACGUGGUCAGAGAAGAAAUGGGGCCCCAAUGUUACAGAGUUCCAGCAGAGGUUUGAUGAGGUCGUCACCAAGGGGGAAGGCCCCAGAAGACUGAAGAACCUGUAUUUUCUCUACCUGAUUGAGCUGCGGGCUCUAUCCAAAGUGCUGCCCUUCUUUGAGCGCCCCGGUUUCCAGCUGUACACUGGGAAUCAGAGUCACGAUGCAGACAUCAAGAACCUGCUGCUGGAAGUUCUCCAUCUGGCCAAGUCUUUUCCGCUGCAUUUUGAUGAAAACUCCUUCUUUGCAGGGAAUAAAAAGGAAGCUGCUAAACUAAAGGUAACUGCCCAGCCCUUCCCAGGGGAUACUUUGUACCCAUGGAGUGUUUUGGAUGUGUCUGGAGUAAUGCUGCGUCUGAAAGGGACCCAAUAGGUUCAAGGAACUGGAUCAGAUAUUCCCAAUUCAUUCUGGUUUGGGGAUGGUUUGG
Molecule: non-coding RNA, 779 nt
Organism: Coturnix japonica (Japanese quail)
Lineage: Eukaryota; Metazoa; Chordata; Aves; Galliformes; Phasianidae
Source: RefSeq, a predicted model, not a curated record